Molecule: long non-coding RNA, 952 nt
Organism: Scylla paramamosain (green mud crab)
Lineage: Eukaryota; Metazoa; Arthropoda; Malacostraca; Decapoda; Portunidae
Exons: 2
Source: RefSeq, a predicted model, not a curated record
GAGAGAGAGAGAGAGAGAGAGAGAGUUAUGGAUCACGAAGACCACAAGUAAAGACCCCCAGACUCACACACAGCCUAAGGAGUUUGUCUGUGGGAGGAAGAAGUAUGUGAGAAAAACCACGAAACGAUUGGGAAAGGGAAGAGAAGGGAAGCGGAAGGAGAGGGGGAUAAAUAAAGACACUAAACAGGAAGCAAAAGACAAGAAAACAAAAUGAUAGAAUAUGAAACAGAGACAAAACACACAAACACAAACAAAACAUUAAAAAAAAAACGUACUAAAAUCAAUCUAACAAUCAAAACCUACAUAGAAAAACUUCUCUAUGAAAUCCUAUAUAUAAUUUAUGUGGGAACGCCUGGGAGGGACGGAAGGGAGACUGAAGGGAGGAAGUAAUGGGGAAUUAAAUCACGGAGGGAGAGAACAGGUAGCGAAGAGGAGGAGAGGAGGGAGGAGGAAAUCAAACUUCUAAAGGAGGGAAUGGUUAGAGGGAGGGAAAAAAAGUAAGAAACUAAGGAAGGGAAUGGAUAGGACAGGAAAGAAAAGAUGGAGGUGAAAACAUAACUACUGAAGGAAGGAAUGAUUAGAAAAAGGAAAAGAGGGAGUGAAAGAAUGAAUGUACUAAAGAAAAGGAGAGAAAAAACUAAACUACAGAAGGAGGAAACGAUUAGAAAAGGAAGAAAAGAGAGUGAAAGAAUGAAGGGAAGGGAAGACGGAAAGGAAAACUAAACUACUGAAGGAAGGAAACAGUAAGAAAAGGAAGAGAAGAGAGUGAAAGAAUGAAGGAAAGAAGAAAAGGAAAACUAAACAACAGAACGAGGCAAUAGUUAGGGAAGGAAGGGAAGAAGUGAAGAACGAAAGAAGCAGAGAGAGAGAGAGAGAGAGAGAGAGAGAGAGAGAGAGAGAGAGAGAGAGAGAGAGAGAGAGAGAGAGAGAGAGAGAGAGAGAGAGAGAGAGA